RNAcentral lists this non-coding RNA (80 nucleotides) under Streptomyces sp. The record is from RNAcentral. RNAcentral also lists the same sequence under 3 other names. Lineage: Bacteria; Bacillati; Actinomycetota; Actinomycetes; Kitasatosporales; Streptomycetaceae.
GAGGAAGCCCGGUGAGAUUCCGGCGCGGUCCCGCCACUGUGAGCCCGGCCGCCACCACCGGCCGGGCGAGUCAGGAACUC